AGAGUUUGAUCCUGGCUCAGGAUGAACGCUAGCGAUAGGCUUAACACAUGCAAGUCGAGGGGUAACAUGGAGAGAAGCUUGCUUCACUCUGAUGACGACCGGCGGAUGGGUGAGUAACGCGUAUGCAACUUGCCUCUUAGUGGGGGAUAACCCGGAGAAAUCCGGACUAAUACCGCAUAUUCUUAAUUUCUCGCAUGAGUUAUUAAGGAAAGAUUUAUUGCUAAGAGAUAGGCAUGCGUUCCAUUAGUUAGUUGGUGAGGUAACGGCUCACCAAGGCAUCGAUGGAUAGGGGAGCUGAGAGGCUGAUCCCCCACAUUGGGACUGAGACACGGCCCAAACUCCUACGGGAGGCAGCAGUGAGGAAUAUUGGUCAAUGGAGGAAACUCUGAACCAGCCAAGUCGCAGGUGGCUGAUUAAGUCAGUGGUGAAAAGCUAUGGCUCAACCAUAGUCUUGCCGUUGAUACUGGUUAGCUUGAGUGUAGAUGAUGUAGGCGGAAUGCGUAGUGUAGCGGUGAAAUGCAUAGAUAUUACGCAGAACUCCGAUUGCGAAGGCAGCUUACAAAACUACUACUGACACUGAGGCACGAAAGCGUGGGUAUCAAACAGGAUUAGAUACCCUGGUAGUCCACGCCGUAAACUAUGAUUACUCAGAGUAUGCGAUAUACAGUAUGCUCUCAAGCGAAAGCAUUAAGUAAUCCACCUGGGGAGUACGUCGGCAACGAUGAAACUCAAAGGAAUUGACGGGGGCCCGCACAAGCGGAGGAACAUGUGGUUUAAUUCGAUGAUACGCGAGGAUUAAUUCGAUGAUACGCGAGGAACCUUACCUGGGAUUGAAAUGUAUAGGCUGGCAACUGGAAACAGAUGCUGUUCACUUCGGUGACUUAUAUGUAGGUGCUGCAUGGUUGUCGUCAGCUCGUGCCGUGAGGUGUCGGCUUAAGUGCCAUAACGAGCGCAACCCUUAUCGUUAGUUGCUAACAGGUUAAGCUGAGGACUCUGGCGAGACUGCCGUCGUAAGGCGAGAGGAAGGUGGGGAUGACGUCAAAUCAGCACGGCCCUUAUAUCCAGGGCGACACACGUGUUACAAUGGUGAGGACAAAGGGUAGCUACCUGGUGACAGGAUGCCAAUCUCCAAACCUCAUCUCAGUUCGGAUCGAAGUCUGCAACUCGACUUCGUGAAGCUGGAUUCGCUAGUAAUCGCGCAUCAGCCAUGGCGCGGUGAAUACGUUCCCGGGCCUUGUACACACCGCCCGUCAAGCCAUGGAAGCUGGGGGUACCUGAAGUGCGUGACCGCGAGGAGCGUCCGAGGGUAAGACCGGUGACUGGGGCUAAGUCGUAACAAGGUAGCCGUACCGGAAGGUGCGGCUG
RNAcentral lists this ribosomal RNA (1365 nucleotides) under human gut metagenome. Its description in RNAcentral is "bacterial SSU rRNA". It matches the Rfam family "Bacterial small subunit ribosomal RNA". The record is from RNAcentral.